GACGAACGCUGGCGGCGUGCUUAACACAUGCAAGUCGAACGGAAAGGCCUCUUUCGGGGGGUACUCGAGUGGCGAACGGGUGAGUAACACGUGAGUAACCUGCCCUUGACUUUGGGAUAACUUCAGGAAACUGGGGCUAAUACCGGAUAGGAGCUCCUGCUGCAUGGUGGGGGUUGGAAAGUUUCGGCGGUUGGGGAUGGACUCGCGGCUUAUCAGCUUGUUGGUGGGGUAGUGGCUUACCAAGGCUUUGACGGGUAGCCGGCCUGAGAGGGUGACCGGCCACAUUGGGACUGGGAUACGGCCCAGACUCCUACGGGAGGCAGCAGUGGGGAAUAUUGCACAAUGGGUGGAAGCCUGAUGCAGCAACGCCGUGUGCGGGAGGACGGCCUUCGGGUUGUAAACCGCUUUCGCUCAUGACGAAGCUUUGUGUGACGGUAGUGGGUAAAGAAGCACCGGCUAACUACGUG
RNAcentral lists this ribosomal RNA (467 nucleotides) under uncultured bacterium. RNAcentral describes it as "partial 16S ribosomal RNA". It matches the Rfam family "Bacterial small subunit ribosomal RNA", at positions 28 to 507 of the family's 1533-position model. The record is from RNAcentral.